UUUAUUAAAGUUAGAGCAGAGAAUAUGUUCGUAAUUAAGCAAUAACUACAUACGCAUGUAUAUGCAUACACAAAUGUGGGCACUUUGGUGGAGAUAGAGCCACCAAGUCCCCAACACAAGUUCAAGAGCAAGACCGGAUCGAUUCAAUUCCGCAAAGCCAUUUCCAAUUUCCAAUUAUAACGCAAUGCGAUUGCGUGCACAAAAUGACAAGCUUUUAUGAAUUCGCGAUGGUCUCGAAACGACUACAACGAUGGGGUCAGACACAUGGGGAACGUUGGACACACGGACACCCAUUAAAUUAUGAUUUCAUUUGACGGCGCCGUUGGCAGAGACGAGUUGUAGGAGCCAAAAAGCUGUGGAAACACCCGCACAGCACCGAAGAUGUCGGAAA
Drosophila grimshawi is the source of this 391-nucleotide long non-coding RNA. RefSeq lists it as uncharacterized. The transcript is spliced from 3 exons. NCBI's taxonomy places the organism in Eukaryota, Metazoa, Arthropoda, Insecta, Diptera, Drosophilidae. The record is from RefSeq and is a predicted model, not a curated record.